This is a long non-coding RNA of Thunnus maccoyii (southern bluefin tuna), 1261 nucleotides long. RefSeq lists it as uncharacterized. The record is from RefSeq and is a predicted model, not a curated record. NCBI's taxonomy places the organism in Eukaryota, Metazoa, Chordata, Actinopteri, Scombriformes, Scombridae. The transcript is spliced from 3 exons.
ACACACUUUUUUUUACGUAUCUUAACGUACGUAAUCUUACGUAAGUUGAAUAAUAAUAAAUCACGCACCUUCAUUUCACGUUACGUAGCAGAAUAAACCUGAUCAGCUCGUUCUCACCCCCAACUCGUCACAUAUGGAAGCUUGGUCAGGACCCCCACUUCGUAACUUUAGCAUCAUUUUUCAAUGUGCAGGUUAGUCUGAUAGACUUCUGUUGAUCUCCCACAACGUCUGAAAUAGACACCAUGAGACCGAUGACGUCUCUACAACAGAUUUCCUGAUACGGAGGCGGCAGGUUGCAGGUCGGGUGGAUGGCUGAUAGAUACAGUAGAUGCUUUCUGUGGUUUUUUUGAUUGAUGCAUCACGCUCUGAUCAUAGAGCGAGUUUAUCUUUGAACUUUGAUUAAAGCUAAACUUUAAUUAUAUGGAUGUAUCAACUGAAGCCAUCACCACCAAAAGCCACAGUGUAAUUUGAACACAGGACAAGUUGGACCAUAAAAUCUGCAGAGUCAGCAGAGGAAACGUGUCUGCAGACAGUCUGAUGAAGCCGACGUGCUGCAGGACAUUUAACCUGAAACUGCUCAAAAAGAGGAGACGUCUCUCUGUGGUAUUUGAGGAAUUUGGAUGUUUUCAGACUCUGCGAUGUUUCCUUGGAUUGUCUGAACGUUCCUGCUGCUGCUGCUGGACGCUCUGUAAUCAGGUCAGGACAGUAAACCAGUGUCGCUGCGGUUUCCUCUCUUCUGGUUUGUCUCAGAAUUCGUCACCUGAGGAGUCUGCAGCGCCCGGGGUGAGCAGACAGUGUCAUCAGACAGGAAUGAGACAGAAAUAACCAGCAGGGAAGGAAUGACUGGAAGCUCAGGGAGGAAACAUGUUGAAUCCAGGAGACACUGAACCGAGCAGAGACUUUAGAUGAAACUUUAUUAAUUCACUGAAUCAGGAGCAAAAUAAACACGAUGAACCAUCAGGGAGUAGUUUUACAUUGAAACAUUAAAAGUGUUUCUAUUAAAUAAAUGCAGUGUUGAUAGUCUCAGUGGUAGAAUGACAGGUAUGUGGUCUAAGCAGCUUCUUUGACCUGGGACGCAACGUUCGUUCCGCUCAAUGCUCUAAUUUGCAUAUUGAGAUCUGAUCACGAGAAACGAGAACACUUUUUAAGACCAGGUGUAAAUGAAAAGUCUCACUGAUCAGAUGUCAUUAUCCAGACACAGAUCACAUGAAAACACCAAGUAUAAAAGUUAUACUUGACCUUGAGAUGAGCACUUAUUAUU